RNAcentral lists this ribosomal RNA (522 nucleotides) under Pseudomonas sp. 10611. RNAcentral's name for it is "bacterial SSU rRNA". It matches the Rfam family "Bacterial small subunit ribosomal RNA", at positions 1 to 522 of the family's 1533-position model. The record is from RNAcentral. Lineage: Bacteria; Pseudomonadati; Pseudomonadota; Gammaproteobacteria; Pseudomonadales; Pseudomonadaceae.
UGGAGAGUUUGAUCCUGGCUCAGAUUGAACGCUGGCGGCAGGCCUAACACAUGCAAGUCGAGCGGUAGAGAGGUGCUUGCACCUCUUGAGAGCGGCGGACGGGUGAGUAAUGCCUAGGAAUCUGCCUGGUAGUGGGGGAUAACGCUCGGAAACGGACGCUAAUACCGCAUACGUCCUACGGGAGAAAGCAGGGGACCUUCGGGCCUUGCGCUAUCAGAUGAGCCUAGGUCGGAUUAGCUAGUUGGUGGGGUAAUGGCUCACCAAGGCGACGAUCCGUAACUGGUCUGAGAGGAUGAUCAGUCACACUGGAACUGAGACACGGUCCAGACUCCUACGGGAGGCAGCAGUGGGGAAUAUUGGACAAUGGGCGAAAGCCUGAUCCAGCCAUGCCGCGUGUGUGAAGAAGGUCUUCGGAUUGUAAAGCACUUUAAGUUGGGAGGAAGGGCAUUAACCUAAUACGUUAGUGUUUUGACGUUACCGACAGAAUAAGCACCGGCUAACUCUGUGCCAGCAGCCGCGGUA